Aptenodytes forsteri (emperor penguin) is the source of this 718-nucleotide non-coding RNA. NCBI's taxonomy places the organism in Eukaryota, Metazoa, Chordata, Aves, Sphenisciformes, Spheniscidae. The record is from the annotation of a RefSeq genome assembly.
CCCCGUCAUGCCGGUGGUAAAGCUCCUGAGCGACCCCAACAAGUACCAACAGGACGAUAAGGUCCUGCUGAUGUGCCUCGUCGAGGGGAAGGCGGUUAGCAACGCCCAGGUGCAAUGGCUGAUGAACCACAACGUGAUGAACCUGAACCAGGAGGACUACACCUGCGACCAGUGCUCCGACAGCAAGGCCGCGUUUAUGAGCCAGGUCAACGUCAGCCGGCAGAGCUGGGACCUCGGGGCCGAGUUCUCUUGCAAAGUGACCCACCCGCUGCUGAAGGCCCCGAGCGAGGACCCGGCCUUAUCCCGCCUCACCAGCGUCCUGAAGAUCUGCGCCGACGAGUGGAACUCCGGCGAGAAGUUCACCUGCUCCGUCACCGUCCCCCAGCUCGGCGAGCCCAUCGUCAAGUCUGUUAAGAAAAACAUAGACGUCUCCGUGAAGGCUCCUUCCGUCUACGUCUUCCCCCCGCCGGCUGAGGAGUUGGCCCGGCAAGAGACGGCCACCUUGACCUGCCUGGCUUUGGGUUUCCGCCCCCGCGACAUCUUGGUGACCUGGACCCAACAGGACCGUCCCGUGUCCGCCGGCAGCUACUCCAUCUUCGGGCCUCAGGAGGAAGGAGGCACCUACACGGUCUACAGCAAGUUGAACGUGCCGGCGGCCGACUGGCAACGGGGCGACUCCUUCGCCUGCGUGGGGCACGACGGCAUCCCCAUGAACUUC